RNAcentral lists this long non-coding RNA (241 nucleotides) under Lathyrus oleraceus (garden pea). Its description in RNAcentral is "Pisum sativum (pea) long non-coding RNA (PSAT_LNC015300)". The record is from RNAcentral. Lineage: Eukaryota; Viridiplantae; Streptophyta; Magnoliopsida; Fabales; Fabaceae.
UGAGCAACUCAGGUAGCAACUCAGCAUAGGUCAUCGGUAACGGGUCAAAACGUCGAUCAGGCAUCCUCUGUCUCGGCUGAUACGGACGUUGCUGUUGUUGUUGUUGUGGUGGCGGUCGUUGUUGAACCCUCUGUUGUUGCUGUUGUCGAGGUUGAGGUGUUGGAAUAGUUACAGCAACAACCUGGCGAUACUGAUUUCUAUUUACAUUUCUUCCACUGUGUUGCACAACACUGGUUUCACC